UGAUGUAUAUGACUUUAGCAUGGCUUUGCAGGUAAAUAUUCAACUUAAUGUAAUGCGUGUUAAACUUUUUUAUUAAAUAGAUAAGUUUUUUUUUUGGCAGUUGUGGGCAUAUGAGGUUAUCCCUACUUUGGGUAGCAAAUGGGCGAUCAGAAGGGAGACUAACUGCCCACGAAUGCUUCAUUGGCGAGCACAUGAGAAGCCAUCGGCUAAGAUUUGACAGUUAUCCUCAACGAUCCUCAGGUGAGUAUUGUAUAUUUGCAAUUUAUAUUGUACGUACAUUUAUUCGGCUUGAUACUUGUUCGUUAACACGUUGAAAUAUGAUAUGUCAACUCGAAGUUCAUGCUGAGUUGGUUGUUUCGAUGAAAGAAGAAGAUCAAAUAUAUGUACGUGAAUUACAUGUUCCACCUACUGAAAACGAUCCAGUGUUUGAGUCUGUUCCGAAUAGAAAUAGAGUAUGUUUAUUUAAAAUCAUUAUUUAUUUUGACUUAUAAUAUUUAUGUGUGAAUUAUUAAUAUUAAUUGUCUUCUCUGUGUAGGAGCGUCAUCUAGUAGAACGACGAGCAUUUUCACUUAGGAGAUUUCCUUCACAUCCACCGAUGAGAUCUCCGUCGCCUCCACUGAUGAGAUCACCUCUACCGCCAUUAUCACAUUCUCCGAGGAGAUCUCCAUCUCGCGCACCCACCCAUCUCUCACGUGGAUCGCCUGCACCUAGUCAGACCCGUCAUUCAGAUGAUUUCUUUGCACGCAUGACUGGUAUUAUUAGAGAGGAGUUGGGAAUGAUGCGACGUGAUUUUACGACAGAGGUAGUAGCACUACGAGAGGAGAUAGGGUUGUUGCGACGGGAUUUUACGAUAGAGGUAGUAACACUACGAGAUGAGAUUGGAGUGCUGCGAUGAGAUAUAGGAGACCUUCAUACCGAAGUUGCAGCACUUCGAGGUGGAGGUGCAGGAGGAGGCCGAGAUAGAGGGGAUGGAGGAAGGGACGGGUGUCGGAGGGGGUGACCGAGGAGGUAGCGGAGGGGAUACCAGAGGUGGUAGUAGAGGGGGUUGCAGAGGGUGAGAAGACGCCAGAGAUGACAGAUGACGAUGUAAUAUUUGUGUCGGAGGGGGUGAUGGAGGUGCCGAAGGGUAAGAAGCGUGCUAAUGACGCGCCAGAGCUGAUGGUCGGUAAGAGAUCGAGAUUGUCAUCACAGUACAUCGUCUCCCCAUACACGAUCGAGGCGAAGAGAAGGGGUUUUGUUGAUGGGACGUUUCCCAAUCUUUUUUGUGACGUCGACCUGGUGAUUGGUUCAAAUCCCUUAAGUUCGAGUAAGUAUUUUAUUAUUUUGCUACUCUUUUUUUUGUUUUUUCGUAACUUUUUUUCAUUUUUCUGAGAUAGCUAUACCAUCAACAGUAUGAUUGUGCUCAACGCUAAAAAGUGGUUCGAAAAUGUAUUGACGACCUCAGCUUGACUCGCCGAUGAUGUAAGUUUUUUGAGUUUCCAUUUAUUAUGUUUAUAGAAGUUGUUGGUUCAUUUACUUAAACGACUUUAUCUUUUUGUUGGUGUUUUUUUGUAUCAGCAUAUCAACUUGGUUAUGGAAUUGUUACGCAAUCGGGCUCGGAGAUACCCGAGAUCUUAUGACAGUCCUAGUCGAGUUAUCCUAAACUCUGAGUUUGUGUGGUAGAUAUUGAGCAUCACGAGCUCCUAAGCAAGAGGAAUGAAUAUGUUCUGUCUGAGUACAUGCUGGAGUGGAUGAUCGGGCUACAGCUGAGGUGCGGAAAGUCGUGGACGGAUUGUACAUGUAUGUACAUUCCAGUGAUCGCGAACUCACACUGUUUUUCAAUGGAGAUCGUAUUUGCUGAUUCCACUAUGUAUGUGUACGACUCUUAUCAUAGCUGUCUGACACAAAGUCAACUGGAGCAAAUAUUGGAGCCAAUAGCUGUGAUCGUGCCCAUGAUGGCUAGUCAUGCGAUGAUCGAGCAAAUGACAAAUUAGUCAUUGUGCAGAACGUGACGACGACAAGACAAGAAAGAUCGUAAGGAUUUAAAACUUUUUAAUUUUAAGAUUUAAUUUUCAGUUAUAUGUUAUCGAACUAAUAUAUUUUUCUUCGGUUACAGGGGCAACUGUGACUUAUUUGCAAUAAAGUACAUAGAAUUUUUUAGCAUUGGUUGCAAUGUUGAUACAAUAAAUCAGUCUUGGAUUGAUACGUGGAGGCAUAAAUUAGCUUGUGAUUGUGAUCCUUAGUGCAUUGUAUAUUAUUUUAUUAAAAUGUAAAUGUUGCUUACUUCAGUAUGAUUCGUGUUGUAAUGUAAUAACUUUUUUAAAUAUUUAAUUAGAGAAAUACUUAAAUGAAAA
RNAcentral lists this long non-coding RNA (2333 nucleotides) under Olea europaea subsp. europaea. The record is from RNAcentral. Lineage: Eukaryota; Viridiplantae; Streptophyta; Magnoliopsida; Lamiales; Oleaceae.